CGAAAUCAUAAAGACAUAAUAUCAAGGGUGAUAACCCUAAUUUAAAGACCGAAAUUCAUAACUCAUAUUUUUAGAUAUGAGUUAUGCAUGAUCAAUGGGAUUUACACACCAAAUACGCAGCUUUUUAUUAUCAUGAAACCAAAAUCAACUCCAUUGUCAAAGCAUCUUAUUUAAUAUAAUAUAACUCCAUGGCCUAUAUAAACUAACUUCUCAUGUUAAAAUUUUACUUACACUCCCUUCUCAUUUUCAUAUUCAUCAUUCAUCAUUUCUCUAAUCACAAGCAUGCCGACCAUGUGGUCUUUAGUAAAAAACUUGCAACCAAACAAUGCUAGAUCUGCAAUUAAAAUGAGACUUGUGCGUGCAUACAACCGCUCAUCUCAAAGCACCAACAAUGUUAUCAGCUAUGAAUGUAUUUUUCAUGAUCGUGAGGUAAAAAUUCUCAUCUCAAAGCACCAACAUUAUUAUGUUUAUCUAAUUUAGUUGUUUUUUUCAUAUAGGGUGACCGCAUCCAUGCUACACUUGAUCGCACGUUGAUCCCCAAGUUCAAACAUAUCUUGAAAGAAGAUUGUGUUUAUGCCGUAAAAAUUUUUUUGGUGAUGCAUGAUUCCCACAAAAAGUAUAGAACAACGACAAAUGUCUACUAUAUUAAAUUUAUUAAUAGUAGUCAUAUAGUUGAAAUUUGUGAAGAAGGUUUUCCACGCCAACUAUUCAACUUUAAAAGUUUUGAAGAAGUGGCCUCCAUUGAUAUUAUCAAUGACAAUAUGCUUUUUGGUAAUGUAUUUAUUUCAUUAUUUU
Molecule: long non-coding RNA, 795 nt
Filed under: Salvia miltiorrhiza (redroot sage)
Lineage: Eukaryota; Viridiplantae; Streptophyta; Magnoliopsida; Lamiales; Lamiaceae
Description: long non-coding RNA (SMIL_LNC013291)
Source: RNAcentral